This 242-nucleotide long non-coding RNA is filed under the name Phasianus colchicus (ring-necked pheasant). RNAcentral's name for it is "lncRNA (ENSPCLG00000000161.1)". The record is from RNAcentral. Lineage: Eukaryota; Metazoa; Chordata; Aves; Galliformes; Phasianidae.
UGCCUUUCUUCCACCACAUUUGCUAGAACCAAAUUUGUUAUUCCCAACAUGGUUUCACCAAUAACAGACACAGAGCUGUGCAGUUCUGGAUCGAUGGAUGCUGAAUUCUCUUGAGCAUAGGAGGAAACAGCAAACUCUCAGGGGGUGACAGUCUCUUGCCUGCUUAUCCUGGUGCUUGCCUGCUGUUUGCAGCAAAUACUUCAGAAUACCGAGAAAAUGUCUUGGUUACCUCAAGCACUGGU